CGGCCCUCCGCCUGCGCUCCCGUUUGCGUCCUCGCGCGCCACUCCCGGGGGAUGGCGGGUGGCGGCGGGAACGAAGGCCGGGCCGACUCCGCGAAGGGAAGCUGCAGGCGGUGGCCUUUUCUGCGAGCCCCAGUAGGGCCUGGACCCGUGCCCUGUGUGUCAGAGAUGAGGGUGUGUUUUAAUAAACUUAUUUACGAGAGUGUUGGCAAACGAGAAGGAAGCAUUGGGCACAGUGAGUGUUAAAUUCUUGAAGUAAUUAGGAGACUGGAUGAGUUUACUUUGUAAAAUUUUACUUAUAAGUACUGUGUUCUUGGCACUGAAUUCCUAAGUUAAAACCUCAUUUAGCAGUCCUCUGCGUUUGUUUAUAUUGACCUGGAAAUCUUGGAAAAGUAAAAUUAUGUAUUUUAGGACACGAUUGUUUAUAUCCAGGUUUUUUGCUGUAAGGCUGUCAGGUUCAGGGAAUAUGCAUAAUUAAGGAAGUAAAUACAGUACAUCUAAACUUGUAAGUUAUUUUGAGUGGUUUAGUCAGGAUGUUUAUACACAGUUGUUAAAAGUACUGUUUUUAAACUUUUGAGCUUUUUGAUCGUAAGACCCCUUUUAAAUUAAGUUACGAUUAAGUAGCAUUUUAAAACGUGUCAUUAGUGUACAAUUAUAGUUUAUGUGGGAAAUGAACCCUUUUUGGAUAGUUAUUUUGCAAUCACAGCUAGAGGAUAUUUUCCUCUUCACAAAAUUGAAACUUGAAUUUGAGAGAUUAGGGAAUUUUGCAAGUGUAGUAAAGAGAAAGUUUGUAAAUCAUUUAGUUCAGACUUGUUAGAAAUAUAGACCAAUGUUUCAAACUGUAGAUUCGUUGAGUCAUUAAAUCAAAUUAAUCAUCAGAAUUUUU
Molecule: long non-coding RNA, 883 nt
Organism: Pipistrellus kuhlii (Kuhl's pipistrelle)
Lineage: Eukaryota; Metazoa; Chordata; Mammalia; Chiroptera; Vespertilionidae
Exons: 2
Source: RefSeq, a predicted model, not a curated record